UGACAUCCCUCUGACCGGCCAGAUAACGACGGCCUUUCUUCGGACAGAGGUGACAGGUGGUGCAUGGUUGUCGUCAGCUCGUGUCGUGAGAUGUUGGGUUAAGUCCCGCAACGAGCGCAACCCUUGUCAUUAGUUGCCAGCAUUGAGUUGGGCACUCUAGUGAGACUGCCGGAGACAAUCCGGAGGAAGGUGGGGAUGACGUCAAAUCAUCAUGCCCCUUAUGAUUUGGGCUACACACGUGCUGCAAUGGCGUAAACAAAGGGAAGCAAUCAGGUGACUGUGAGCGAAUCUCAAAAAUAACGUCUCAGUUCGGAUUGUAGUCUGCAACUCGACUACAUGAAGCUGGAAUCGCUAGUAAUCGCGAAUCAGAAUGUCGCGGUGAAUACGUUCCCGGGUCUUGUACACACCGCCCGUCACACCAUGGGAGUUGGGAAUGCCCGAAGUCUGUGACCCAACCGUAAGGAGGGAGCAGCCGAAGGCAGGCUCGAUAACUGGGGUG
Molecule: ribosomal RNA, 499 nt
Filed under: uncultured bacterium
Lineage: Bacteria
Description: bacterial SSU rRNA
Rfam family: Bacterial small subunit ribosomal RNA
Source: RNAcentral